Molecule: small nucleolar RNA, 107 nt
Organism: Lactuca sativa (garden lettuce)
Lineage: Eukaryota; Viridiplantae; Streptophyta; Magnoliopsida; Asterales; Asteraceae
Source: RefSeq, a predicted model, not a curated record
AGGUCACAUUGAGGGCAAUUCCUUAGCAUUCCAUUAUAUCUCUCCUAAGAUUCGUAUAAAGAUUCACCAUUAUUUAGUUGGAAGUUAGUUAUGCUCUUCUUAAGUUU